GAUGAAGAACGCAGUGAAAUGCGAUAAGUAGUGUGAAUUGCAGAAUUCAGUGAAUCAUCGAAUCUUUGAACGCACAUUGCGGCCAUAGGUAUUCCUUUGGCCAUGCCUGUUCGAGCGUCAUUUACACCCUCAAGCCUAGCUUGGUGUUGGUCGCCUGUCCCGCCGUUUUCGCGCGCGGACUCGCCUCAAAGUCAUUGGCGGCGGUCGUGCCGGCCCCCUCGCGCAGCACAUUUGCGCUUCUCGGAGGCCCGGCGGAUCCGCGCUCCAGCAAGACCUUUCACGACUUGACCUCGGAUCAGGUAGGGAUACCCGCUGAACUUAAGCAUAUCAAUAAGCGGAGGA
RNAcentral lists this unclassified non-coding RNA (342 nucleotides) under soil metagenome. Its description in RNAcentral is "partial contains 5.8S ribosomal RNA, internal transcribed spacer 2, and large subunit ribosomal RNA". The stretch from base 1 to 120 matches the Rfam family "5.8S ribosomal RNA", at positions 35 to 154 of the family's 154-position model. The record is from RNAcentral.